CCUACGGGAGGCAGCAGUGGGGAAUUUUGGACAAUGGGCGCAAGCCUGAUCCAGCCAUGCCGCGUGCAGGAUGAAGGCCUUCGGGUUGUAAACUGCUUUUGUACGGAACGAAAAGACUUGUCUUAAUACGAUGGGUCCAUGACGGUACCGUAAGAAUAAGCACCGGCUAACUACGUGCCAGCAGCCGCGGUAAUACGUAGGGUGCAAGCGUUAAUCGGAAUUACUGGGCGUAAAGCGUGCGCAGGCGGUAAUGUAAGACAGAUGUGAAAUCCCCGGGCUCAACCUGGGAACUGCAUUUGUGACUGCAUUGCUGGAGUGCGGCAGAGGGGGAUGGAAUUCCGCGUGUAGCAGUGAAAUGCGUAGAUAUGCGGAGGAACACCGAUGGCGAAGGCAAUCCCCUGGGCCUGCACUGACGCUCAUGCACGAAAGCGUGGGGAGCAAACAGGAUUAGAUACCCUGGUAGUCCACGCCCUAAACGAUGUCAACUGGUUGUUGGGUCUUCAUUGACUCAGUAACGAAGCUAACGCGUGAAGUUGACCGCCUGGGGAGUACGGCCGCGAAGGUUGAAACGUUCGAAAGGAUUGACGG
RNAcentral lists this ribosomal RNA (588 nucleotides) under uncultured bacterium. Its description in RNAcentral is "bacterial SSU rRNA". It matches the Rfam family "Bacterial small subunit ribosomal RNA", at positions 338 to 916 of the family's 1533-position model. The record is from RNAcentral.